Molecule: ribosomal RNA, 254 nt
Filed under: uncultured bacterium
Lineage: Bacteria
Description: partial 16S ribosomal RNA
Rfam family: Bacterial small subunit ribosomal RNA
Source: RNAcentral
UACGAAGGGGGCUAGCGUUGUUCGGAUUACUGGGCGUAAAGCGCACGUAGGCGGAUCGUUAAGGUCGGGGGUGAAAUCCUGGAGCUCAACUCCAGAACUGCCUUCGAUACUGGCGAUCUUGAGUCCGGAAGAGGUGAGUGGAACUCCUAGUGUAGAGGUGGAAUUCGUAGAUAUUAGGAAGAACACCAGUGGCGAAGGCGGCUCACUGGUCCGGUACUGACGCUGAGGUGCGAAAGCGGUGGGAGCAAACAGGG